This is a non-coding RNA of Ipomoea nil (Japanese morning glory), 74 nucleotides long. Lineage: Eukaryota; Viridiplantae; Streptophyta; Magnoliopsida; Solanales; Convolvulaceae. The record is from Rfam.
GUUCGGGUGGUGUAGUUGGUUAUCACGCUAGUCUCACACACUAGAGGUCCCAAUUCAAACCUGGGAUUCAAACA